CCUGAAGUCUUGGUGGUGUAGGAGUCGAUCCUCAAAGCUGUAGGGCCAACACCAAGGUACUGGACUGGUGGUGGAGAUGUUUACAUGGACACAGCAGUGCCUGUCCAGCUGCUCUGAAGGUGACAGGUGGAUGAACAGCUGGUUCCCACCUGCUGGGAUAAGAGAGCAGAUGGAGGAGGGAGCACAGGUGUGGGAAUGUGCAGGUGCCAGACUUCCCCGGAGCAGAUGCCCCAGGUCCCAAUUCACAGAUUUGCUCAUGAUCCACCCUCUCCGUGGCCGUCAAGUCCCGGUAAAGGAUGACUUGGACAUGAUGAACUCUACUGCCUCGUGCACAUUACUUCCAUGCCGUGUCUUUCCUGGAUAACUCGGAGCAGAGCACUCUGUUGGUUGUGUUCAUAACAGACUGGAUGAGGAGGCAACGGCAGAAUCAAGGAGACCAGUUAGAAGGUAAUUGCAGUAAUCCAGGGACAAGAUGAUGGUGGCUCAGACUAACAUGGUAUCAUCAAAGAGGAUGAAUGUAAUGUCAUGUUACAUGGCUGUGGCUGUCUUCGAACAUCUCUCAUCAAUCCUUCUCCAAACUCUUCGUUAGCUCCUCAGCUGAUUCCUCACCUGCAAAGACGGCGGUAACCACCUCCUGCUCUUCUCUGAAACACAGAAAAACCUCGUUGCUCUAUGACUUCAACUAGUUCCUCCAGAAGAAUGACUUAUAAAUCAGAGGACCUAAUCUAGGUUAUCCAGCAGCCUCCACC
RNAcentral lists this long non-coding RNA (749 nucleotides) under Equus caballus (horse). Its description in RNAcentral is "lncRNA (ENSECAG00000048779.1)". The record is from RNAcentral. Lineage: Eukaryota; Metazoa; Chordata; Mammalia; Perissodactyla; Equidae.